GGCAGAAGGAAAGGCUGGCUAUACUCAGAGAACUUCAGGAGGACUUUGGCACACACCAAACUCUACAGGAAACUGCAGCUCGAAGGCCCAUGGCUCUACUGUCACUGACAGUCCCACAUGGAUGGCGCAGCCCUAGAUGGCAGUCAAGGAAGCCAAGGAUAGGAGAAAUUGAGCCACCCUUACCAUGACUUAAUAUGUAAAGCAAAGAAUGAAACCAAUCCACUCUCCUUCAGAUCAUGGUGAAAUUUGGUAAUUAAACUUAAUUUAUAUAAAGAAUUCAACCUCUAGA
Molecule: long non-coding RNA, 289 nt
Organism: Neogale vison (American mink)
Lineage: Eukaryota; Metazoa; Chordata; Mammalia; Carnivora; Mustelidae
Exons: 3
Source: RefSeq, a predicted model, not a curated record